RNAcentral lists this ribosomal RNA (248 nucleotides) under uncultured bacterium. RNAcentral's name for it is "partial 16S ribosomal RNA". It matches the Rfam family "Bacterial small subunit ribosomal RNA", at positions 15 to 253 of the family's 1533-position model. The record is from RNAcentral.
GAUCAUGGCUCAGGAUGAACGCUAGCUACAGGCUUAACACAUGCAAGUCGAGGGGCAGCAUUUUAGUUUGCUUGCAAACUAAAGAUGGCGACCGGCGCACGGGUGAGUAACACGUAUCCAACCUGCCGAUAACUCGGGGAUAGCCUUUCGAAAGAAAGAUUAAUAUCCGAUGGUAUAUUUUCUCCGCAUGGUGAGAAUAUUAAAGAAUUUCGGUUAUCGAUGGGGAUGCGUUCCAUUAGUUUGUUGGG